Cajanus cajan (pigeon pea) is the source of this 899-nucleotide long non-coding RNA. RefSeq lists it as uncharacterized. The record is from RefSeq and is a predicted model, not a curated record. NCBI's taxonomy places the organism in Eukaryota, Viridiplantae, Streptophyta, Magnoliopsida, Fabales, Fabaceae.
GGGUGUUGGCCGUGGCUGGUGGCUGGGGGCUGAUCGGGGGAGCGCACGCGCGACUGAGGGGUUCGGUUGGGGUUUCCGCGCGCGCGGCUGGGGUUUCUGGUCGGGGGUUGCGCGCGGCUGAGGGGUCUGGUCGGGGUUUCGCGCACGCUGUUGGGAGGUCCGGUCGGUCAGGGGGUUCCGUGCGCGGCUAAGGGGUCCAGUCGGAGGUUUUGCUCGCGGCUGACGGGGUCGGUCAGGGGUUGCGCGCACAACUGAGGGGGUUCGGUGGGGGGUUUCCGCACGGCAGAGGGGUUCCGGUCAGGGGGUUUCGCGCGGCGGAGUUUUCCAGACAUGCAUGCACUCUGAGAACAUGGCCAACGGAGGGAGUCGACCAAGAACAAUAACAGGGAUAAGAACCGUUGCUUCUGCAAGCAACAAAGAGAAAAAUUUAAGAACGAACGCUGCCACGUAGCUUUACUCCAACGGGGAUUUCUUGUAAGCACCGUUGCUUACAAUUAAGACACGGAACAGGCACCUCCCGCUGGAGGUGCUCUUAGAUACUUUAUGGUUCUACUCGUGCACUUGCAUAAAAAAUAAUAUUGCAUUCAUUGGUCAAUUAAUAUAAAUGGAUAUAAAAAUUAAUUAAAAAAAUACCAAUGUUUGCAUCUCAGCAAAUAUUAAGUUAAAUAGAAAAUUUUUAUGCAAGUUAUUUCUAAUGGUUAGGCUCUUCUUCAGGAAACUUCAAAAAUUCAAUUGAAUUAUAGAUCAGAAGGAAUUCUAAUUUUGAUUUUCAAACACCAUCAUGUGAAUAUGAUAGCUCAAACUCACUUGAAUAGAGAGUGUUGAUAGUUAUUAGCUAUAUAUCAUUGUUUUAUUGAUACACUUUUAUUAGAGGAUUUAACCUAUUCCUAAUUUUUCAA